This 72-nucleotide transfer RNA is filed under the name Scyliorhinus stellaris (nursehound). RNAcentral describes it as "tRNA-Thr". It matches the Rfam family "tRNA". From Rfam's summary of the family: Transfer RNA (tRNA) molecules are approximately 80 nucleotides in length. Their secondary structure includes four short double-helical elements and three loops (D, anti-codon, and T loops). The record is from RNAcentral. Lineage: Eukaryota; Metazoa; Chordata; Chondrichthyes; Carcharhiniformes; Scyliorhinidae.
GUUUUGGUAGCUUAACUUAAAAGCGUCGACCUUGUAAGUCGAAGACUGGAGAUGUAAAUUCUCCCCAAAACA